RNAcentral lists this ribosomal RNA (389 nucleotides) under uncultured bacterium. RNAcentral's name for it is "bacterial SSU rRNA". It matches the Rfam family "Bacterial small subunit ribosomal RNA", at positions 28 to 417 of the family's 1533-position model. The record is from RNAcentral.
GACGGACGCUGGCGGCGUGCUUAACACAUGCAAGUCGAGCGGUAAGGCCCUUUCGGGGGUACGACGAGCGGCGAACGGGUGAGUAACACGUGGGUGACCUGCCCUCAGCUCUGGGAUAAGCCUGGGAAACCGGGUCUAAUACUGGAUAUGACUCCAUGACGCAUGUUGUGGGGUGGAAAGCCUUGUGCGGCUGAGGAUGGGCCCGCGGCCUAUCAGCUUGUUGGUGGGGUGANGGCCUACCAAGGCGACGACGGGUAGCCGGCCUGAGAGGGCGACCGGCCACACUGGGACUGAGACACGGCCCAGACUCCUACGGGAGGCAGCAGUGGGGAAUCUUGCGCAAUGGGCGAAAGCCUGACGCAGCGACGCCGCGUGAGGGAUGACGGCCU